This 517-nucleotide ribosomal RNA is filed under the name uncultured bacterium. Its description in RNAcentral is "bacterial SSU rRNA". It matches the Rfam family "Bacterial small subunit ribosomal RNA", at positions 8 to 507 of the family's 1533-position model. The record is from RNAcentral.
AGAGUUUGAUCCUGGCUCAGGAUGAACGCUGGCGGCGUGCCUAAUACAUGCAAGUCGAGCGAACAGACGAGGAGCUUGCUCCUUUGACGUUAGCGGCGGACGGGUGAGUAACACGUGGGUAACCUACCUAUAAGACUGGGAUAACUUCGGGAAACCGGAGCUAAUACCGGAUAAUAUUUCGAACUGCAUGGUUCGAUAGUGAAAGAUGGCUUUGCUAUCACUUAUAGAUGGACCUGCGCCGUAUUAGCUAGUUGGUAAGGUAACGGCUUACCAAGGCAACGAUACGUAGCCGACCUGAGAGGGUGAUCGGCCACACUGGAACUGAGACACGGUCCAGACUCCUACGGGAGGCAGCAGUAGGGAAUCUUCCGCAAUGGGCGAAAGCCUGACGGAGCAACGCCGCGUGAGUGAUGAAGGUCUUCGGAUCGUAAAACUCUGUUAUUAGGGAAGAACAAACGUGUAAGUAACUGUGCACGUCUUGACGGUACCUAAUCAGAAAGCCACGGCUAACUACGUG